CGUUUGUUGAUUAUAAUUUCAAAUAUAACCUGCCCAAUGAAUUAUUUAAUGGCCGCAGUAUUUUGACUGUGCAAAGGUAGCAUAAUAAUUAGUUUUUUAAUUGAAAGCUUGUAUGAAUGGUUGGACGAGAUAAAAGCUGUCUUUAAUUAAUCUAUAGAAUUUAAUUUUUAAGUCAAAAAGCUUAAAUUUUAUUAAAAGACGAGAAGACCCUAUAAAGCUUUAUAUAAACAGUUAAUUUUAUUUUUUUGAAAAGUUUUAUUUUAUUAAUUGAAUAUAUUUGAUUGGGGUAAUUUGAAGAUUUAAAUAAUUCUUUAUUUUUAAGACAUUAAUUUAUGAAUUUUUGAUCCAUUAUUGAUGAUUAAAAGAUUAAGUUACUUUAGGGAUAACAGCGUAAUUUUUUUAAAGAGUUCAUAUCGAUAAAAAAGUUUGCGACCUCGAUGUUGGAUUAAAAGUAAUUCAGGGGGUAGAAUUUCUGAAUUUUGGUCUGUUCGACCAUUAAAUUUUUACA
Molecule: ribosomal RNA, 508 nt
Filed under: Notomicrus sp. UNM KBMNcsp642
Lineage: Eukaryota; Metazoa; Arthropoda; Insecta; Coleoptera; Noteridae
Description: partial 16S ribosomal RNA
Rfam family: Bacterial large subunit ribosomal RNA (bases 382-508)
Source: RNAcentral